Ostrea edulis (European flat oyster) is the source of this 272-nucleotide long non-coding RNA. RefSeq lists it as uncharacterized. The transcript is spliced from 4 exons. The record is from RefSeq and is a predicted model, not a curated record. NCBI's taxonomy places the organism in Eukaryota, Metazoa, Mollusca, Bivalvia, Ostreida, Ostreidae.
CAGAAAGACACCUGGGAAUUCCUACUUUCUUUUUUAUUGUAGAUGGAGAGGAUUCAUACAUUUACGUGUACAUGUUAACCAUAGAAAUUCUGUAACUGACCCUUGGAUAUGGCGCUGUGAGAUGAAAAUGAAUCUAGAUAGGGAACAACAGCACCUUGCUCAACAUAUCCGGAAUGGAGAGUGUUUACAGGUGUGGAGUUUGCUAUGGUUGACAUCCUGUAGGGCUUAACUCUGAUAGUAAAUACCUGGAUGAGUAAACAACAUGGACCAAA